This is a long non-coding RNA of Hibiscus syriacus, 921 nucleotides long. RefSeq lists it as uncharacterized. NCBI's taxonomy places the organism in Eukaryota, Viridiplantae, Streptophyta, Magnoliopsida, Malvales, Malvaceae. The transcript is spliced from 5 exons. The record is from RefSeq and is a predicted model, not a curated record.
AGGGAAUGUCUUAAGUUUCAUUACGUAUGGCUUUAGGAAAUUUUAACUUUUCUUUCAGAUGACCUUUAUACCUUUUAUGCUUAAAAGUAAUUAAUAAGAAAAAAUCUGCCUAUAGAAUGACUAAUUGUAUCUUUGAUUUUGUAGGUGGUACUAUAGUGUUGUUUGACUGAAAGAAGCUCAGAAACUUCAGAAAAGAUGGUCAUAACUGGAAAAAGAAAAAGGAUGGAAAGACUGUUAAAGAAGCUCAUGAACACUUAAAAGUUUUUAAUGAAGGAAGGAUUCAUGUAUAUUAUGCACGUGGCCAUGAUAAUCCAACUUUUGUUCGGAGGUGUUACUGGCUGCUGGAUAAGACUCUGGAAAACAUAGUUCUUGUUCACUAUCGUGAAACAGAGGAGUUGCAGGGUUCUCCAGCCACACCUGUGAAUUCAAAUGCCUGUGUAACUGAUCAGUCUACUCUUUUGCUUCUUACACUGUAGUUUGAUUCUGGUGCUACUGAUGCAUAUAAUGAAGAUCUCAGUGAGAACAUUAAGGCAAAUCACGAAAUGACUCUUCAUGAGAUUAGUUGCUGGCUUUAAGGUGUGAGGGGAAGUGCAAGUGGUGAUCUCAAGCAGCACUUGUUUCAAGAAAUUUAAUAGGUCCUUAUUUUCUAGAACUUUAUGAUAUUUAUGGAAUCUGGGACUUUUGGACUUUGGUUUUGGACGUAGUAUGAUGCAUGUUUAAGUUAGUUGACAAGCAUGUUUGAGACUUAAUAUGCUAAAUAGUGAAUUUAUGUGGUCUUGAUGUUAUGAGCCUUCUUAGUACUAUAAAUAAGGGUGUUGUGACUUGUUGGAAUAGUGUAGUGACCAAAAAUGCAUGAAAUGGUGGUAGUGUAUAACAUGUAUGAAAAAUGGUCUAAAAUGAAACAUAGGGUCUAAAGUUUUA